UACGGGGGGGGCAAGCGUUGUUCGGAAUUACUGGGCGUAAAGGGCGCGUAGGCGGCCUGCUAAGUCGAAUGUGAAAUCCCCCGGCUCAACCGGGGAAGUGCAUCCGAAACUGGCGGGCUAGAGUACGAAAGAGGGUCGCGGAAUUCCUGGUGUAGAGGUGAAAUUCGUAGAUAUCGGGAGGAACACCGGUGGCGAAGGCGGCGACCUGGGUCGAUACUGACGCUGAGGUGCGAAAGCGUGGGGAGCAAACAGG
RNAcentral lists this ribosomal RNA (253 nucleotides) under uncultured bacterium. RNAcentral's name for it is "partial 16S ribosomal RNA". It matches the Rfam family "Bacterial small subunit ribosomal RNA", at positions 524 to 776 of the family's 1533-position model. The record is from RNAcentral.